UAAUACGGAGGAUGCGAGCGUUAUCCGGAUUCAUUGGGUUUAAAGGGUGCGCAGGCGGGCGUAUAAGUCAGGGGUGAAAUGCCACGGCUCAACCGUGGAACUGCCUUUGAUACUGUAUGUCUUGAGUUUAGUUGAAGUGGGCGGAAUGUAGCAUGUAGCGGUGAAAUGCAUAGAGAUGCUACAGAACACCAAUCGCGAAGGCAGCUCACUAAACUUUAACUGACGCUCAUGCACGAAAGCGUGGGGAGCAAACAGGAUUAGAUACCCUGGUAGUCCACGCCGUAAACGAUGAUCACUCGCUGUUGGCGAUAUAUUGUCAGUGGCUAAGCAAAAGUGAUAAGUGAUCCACCUGGGGAGUACGACCGCAAGGUUGAAACUCAAAGGAAUUGACGGGGGCCCGCACAAGCGGAGGAGCAUGUGGUUUAAUUCGACGCAACGCGAAGAACCUUACCAGGGCUUGACAUCCUCUGAUGUCCAUAGAGAUAUGGAGUUUGAUCUUCGGAUUGACAGAGAGACAGGUGGUGCAUGGUUGUCGUCAGCUCGUGUCGUGAGAUGUUGGGUUAAGUCCCGCAACGAGCGCAACCCUUAUUCUUAGUUGCCAGCAUUAAGUUGGGCACUCUAAGGAGACUGCCGGUGACAAACCGGAGGAAGGUGGGGAUGACGUCAAAUCAUCAUGCCCUUUAUGUCCUGGGCUACACACGUGCUACAAUGGCCUGUACAGAGGGUAGCGAAGCUGUGAAGUGGAGCCAAUCCCAAAAAGCAGGUCUCAGUUCGGAUUGUAGGCUGCAACUCGCCUACAUGAAGUCGGAAUCGCUAGUAAUCGCGAAUCAGCAUGUCGCGGUGAAUACGUUCCCGGGCCUUGUACACACCGCCCGUCACACCACGAAAGUUGACAACACCCGAAGCCGGUGUACUAACCGUAAGGAAGAAGCCGUCGAAGGUGGGGCCGAUGAUUGGGGUG
Molecule: ribosomal RNA, 961 nt
Filed under: uncultured bacterium
Lineage: Bacteria
Description: bacterial SSU rRNA
Rfam family: Bacterial small subunit ribosomal RNA
Source: RNAcentral